UCUCUUUUGCAUCAUCAUUAAACCAUUAUUUUUGGAUACAAAUGGUUCAUCUCUCCGGUCUUGACGAGGAGGCAGCGGGAUCGGCAAGAAGAAUUGGCAGAGCAAGUGUAUAGUUUUACAAGGAAAGAUGUGGAUGCACCUCCAGGGACUCAGAAGAGCUGAAUGUAACCAAGAUAUUUUUUUAAGUGUAUAUAGACAGUUCUUCUGGUAAUAAAUAUUUAAUUAAAA
Molecule: long non-coding RNA, 228 nt
Organism: Penaeus vannamei (Pacific white shrimp)
Lineage: Eukaryota; Metazoa; Arthropoda; Malacostraca; Decapoda; Penaeidae
Source: RefSeq, a predicted model, not a curated record